UCUAAGCAACAAUAUCCAAGGGGCGGGGCUUAGCGGAAAGGUUCAUUAUUGAUGUGACAGUGUGUUUUUGCAGUCCCUAUUUUAGCAUUAGUUCCAUUCUACCACAUACCAUUGUUUAUACUAAUUGCAUUUGCGGACUACAUUUUCCAUCAAACUGCCCAAUGACCACUAACCACAAGGUUGCCCAAUUGGUUUAUUACCCUGAUGAGGGAGGAUGCCUCAUCACUAUAUUCAUACCACCUCAAGUAAAUAGCUCAUCUCAUGUUAAGGGAUUAAUAGAGGGUGCAUUAAUACCCCAAUCAAGGGUGUCUGGUAAACAGGCAGUUUGUUUGGUAAAUCAGUCAGUUUUUCAUAAGUGUGUUUCAUUACUGCUGCAAACUCCAAUGGAGUAAGACAGUAAUCACAUCUCUGAAGUUUUGUCAUUCUGAAAGGUUAUUCAGAUUGUAAUAUCGUACAGUACCAUACCGUACAUUGAUUGGUCAUUGGUGACUAUAGUCAGCUUGCCCGGUGUUUGCUAGGGGUGAGUCGAUUAGAUAAAUUAUAAUAUGAUAUAUCCGACGAACAUUUAUUAUUUCCAUUUGGUGAUUGUUAUAUUACUUUGUGAAUUGCCUAUAAGUGUUAACGGAUUACUUUAGUGCUAUGAUUACUCUUUACUGUGUAAUACUUUAUGCAUUAUGAUAGUAAAUGAUUUCCUAUUAAUUUUAAUGUUACUUUUAUAUACUGUACUUAUAUAGUUUGUUUAUUAUAUCAAGUCUUAAUGGCUUAUGUAUUCUUCUAUGAUCUUAUUAAUUGAUUGAUGAUAAAUAAUUUGUUAUUUCACGUGUGAAGCUACCUGCUCCUGUGUUAUUAAUACAAACUUAUUUGUUCAUUGUUUUAGGGUUUUAGAUUUAGUUUUGUUUCGCUUUGCCUUUUGUUUUGGAUACUUACUCCACAGAAAUAAAGAACCUGAAGAAUGCUA
This is a long non-coding RNA of Anneissia japonica, 958 nucleotides long. RefSeq lists it as uncharacterized. The record is from RefSeq and is a predicted model, not a curated record. Lineage: Eukaryota; Metazoa; Echinodermata; Crinoidea; Comatulida; Comatulidae. The transcript has 2 exons.